UACGGGGGGAGCAAGCGUUGUUCGGAUUUACUGGGCGUAAAGGGCGCGUAGGCGGCCUCUGCAAGUCGACUGUGAAAUCUCCGGGCUUAACCCGGAAAGGUCAGCCGAUACUGCAGGGCUAGAGUGCAGAAGGGGCAACUGGAAUUCUCGGUGUAGCGGUGAAAUGCGUAGAUAUCGAGAGGAACACCUGCGGCGAAGGCGGCUUUCUGGACAGAUACCGACGCUGAGGCACGAAAGCUAGGGGAGCAAACAGG
RNAcentral lists this ribosomal RNA (254 nucleotides) under uncultured bacterium. Its description in RNAcentral is "partial 16S ribosomal RNA". It matches the Rfam family "Bacterial small subunit ribosomal RNA", at positions 524 to 776 of the family's 1533-position model. The record is from RNAcentral.